RNAcentral lists this ribosomal RNA (484 nucleotides) under uncultured bacterium. RNAcentral describes it as "partial 16S ribosomal RNA". It matches the Rfam family "Bacterial small subunit ribosomal RNA", at positions 30 to 507 of the family's 1533-position model. The record is from RNAcentral.
AUUGAACGCUGGCGGCAGGCCUAACACAUGCAAGUCGGGCGGAUGAAGGGAGCUUGCUCCUGGAUUCAGCGGCGGACGGGUGAGUAAUGCCUAGGAAUCUGCCUGGUAGUGGGGGAUAACGUCCGGAAACGGGCGCUAAUACCGCAUACGUCCUGAGGGAGAAAGUGGGGGAUCUUCGGACCUCACGCUAUCAGAUGAGCCUAGGUCGGAUUAGCUAGUUGGUGGGGUAAAGGCCUACCAAGCCGACGAUCCGUAACUGGUCUGAGAGGAUGAUCAGUCACCCUGGAACUGCAACACGGUCCAGACUCCUACGGGAGGCAGCAGUUGGGAAUAUUGGACAAUGGGCGAAAGCCUGAUCCAGCCAUGCCGCGUGUGUGAAGAAGGUCUUCGGAUUGUAAAGCACUUUAAGUUGGGAGGAAGGGCAGUAAGUUAAUACCUUGCUGUUUUGUCGUUACCAACAGAAUAAGCACCGGCUAACUUCGUG